RNAcentral lists this ribosomal RNA (253 nucleotides) under uncultured bacterium. RNAcentral's name for it is "partial 16S ribosomal RNA". It matches the Rfam family "Bacterial small subunit ribosomal RNA", at positions 524 to 776 of the family's 1533-position model. The record is from RNAcentral.
UACGUAGGGUGCGAGCGUUGUCCGGAAUUAUUGGGCGUAAAGGGCUCGUAGGCGGCUUGUCGCGUCGACUGUGAAAUCCCGCGGCUCAACUGCGGGUCUGCAGUCGAUACGGGCAGGCUAGAGUUCGGUAGGGGAGACUGGAAUUCCUGGUGUAGCGGUGAAAUGCGCAGAUAUCAGGAGGAACACCGAUGGCGAAGGCAGGUCUCUGGGCCGAUACUGACGCUGAGGAGCGAAAGCGUGGGGAGCGAACAGG